GAUAAGAACGUAGCGAAAUGCGAUAAGUAGUGUGAAUUGCAGAAUUCAGUGAAUCAUCGAAUCUUUGAACGCACAUUGCGCCUCCUGGUAUUCCGGGAGGCAUGCCUGUUCGAGCGUCAUUAAAAUCACUCAAGCUUAGGUUUACCUAUUGCUUGGUCUUGGAGAUGGAAGCCAAUUUAUUGGAAUCCUCUUCGAAAUUCAAUGGCGAAGACCCUUGCUCUCCCAAGUGUAGUAAUAACUUAUGUCACUGAAGGAAGCGAGAAAUCUUCUGCCGUAACCCCCAUAUUUUCUAUGAUUGACCUCGGAUCAGGUAGGGAUACCCGCUGAACUUAAGCAUAUCAAUAAGCGGAGGA
Molecule: unclassified non-coding RNA, 353 nt
Filed under: soil metagenome
Description: partial contains 5.8S ribosomal RNA, internal transcribed spacer 2, and large subunit ribosomal RNA
Rfam family: 5.8S ribosomal RNA (bases 4-119)
Source: RNAcentral